RNAcentral lists this transfer RNA (66 nucleotides) under Amphiura sp. CZ-2022. RNAcentral's name for it is "tRNA-Ser". The record is from RNAcentral. Lineage: Eukaryota; Metazoa; Echinodermata; Ophiuroidea; Amphilepidida; Amphiuridae.
GAAUAAAAGCCCUGUACUUGUCCUUCUAAGUCAAAGUUCCUGCAGUUAAAAUCUGUAGUAUUCUCG